GGCAGUUCUUGGGUGAUGCACCCCAGAAUCAGGCUCCCUCCUCUCUGGUUCUGGGUGCAUCACCUGAGAACUGCA
This is a non-coding RNA of Myotis davidii, 75 nucleotides long. NCBI's taxonomy places the organism in Eukaryota, Metazoa, Chordata, Mammalia, Chiroptera, Vespertilionidae. The record is from Rfam.